UACGUAGGGUGCAAGCGUUGUCCGGAAUUAUUGGGCGUAAAGGGCUCGUAGGCGGUCUGUCGCGUCGGAUGUGAAAACCCAGGGCUCAACCCUGGGCCUGCAUUCGAUACGGGCAGACUAGAGUUCGGUAGGGGAGACUGGAAUUCCUGGUGUAGCGGUGGAAUGCGCAGAUAUCAGGAGGAACACCGAUGGCGAAGGCAGGUCUCUGGGCCACUACUGACGCUGAGAAGCGAAAGCAUGGGGAGCGAACAGG
This 253-nucleotide ribosomal RNA is filed under the name uncultured bacterium. RNAcentral describes it as "partial 16S ribosomal RNA". It matches the Rfam family "Bacterial small subunit ribosomal RNA", at positions 524 to 776 of the family's 1533-position model. The record is from RNAcentral.